CUCUUUGGAGUAGUAGGUAGCGCAUCUGUCUCCCAAGCUGAAGGUCCUGAGUUAGAUUCUCAGAAGGG
This 68-nucleotide transfer RNA is filed under the name Monodelphis domestica (gray short-tailed opossum). It matches the Rfam family "tRNA". From Rfam's summary of the family: Transfer RNA (tRNA) molecules are approximately 80 nucleotides in length. Their secondary structure includes four short double-helical elements and three loops (D, anti-codon, and T loops). The record is from Rfam by way of RNAcentral. Lineage: Eukaryota; Metazoa; Chordata; Mammalia; Didelphimorphia; Didelphidae.